GAUGAACGCUGGCGGCGUGCCUAAUACAUGCCAGUCGAGCGAACAGAUGAGGAGCUUGCUCCUCUGACGUUAGCGGCGGACGGGUGAGUAACACGUGGAUAACCUACCUAUAAGACUGGGAUAACUUCGGGAAACCGGAGCUAAUACCGGAUAAUAUAUUGAACCGCAUGGUUCAAUAGUGAAAGACGGUUUUGCUGUCACUUAUAGAUGGAUCCGCGCCGCAUUAGCUAGUUGGUAAGGUAACGGCUUACCAAGGCAACGAUGCGUAGCCGACCUGAGAGGGUGAUCGGCCACACUGGAACUGAGACACGGUCCAGACUCCUACGGGAGGCCGCAGUAGGGAAUCUUCCGCAAUGGGCGAAAGCCUGACGGAGCAACGCCGCGUGAGUGAUGAAGGUCUUCGGAUCGUAAAACUCUGUUAUUAGGGAAGAACAAAUGUGUAAGUAACUAUGCACGUCUUGACGGUACCUAAUCAGAAAGCCACGGCUAACUACGUG
RNAcentral lists this ribosomal RNA (497 nucleotides) under uncultured bacterium. RNAcentral describes it as "partial 16S ribosomal RNA". It matches the Rfam family "Bacterial small subunit ribosomal RNA", at positions 28 to 507 of the family's 1533-position model. The record is from RNAcentral.